This 460-nucleotide ribosomal RNA is filed under the name uncultured Bacteroidota bacterium. RNAcentral describes it as "bacterial SSU rRNA". It matches the Rfam family "Bacterial small subunit ribosomal RNA", at positions 45 to 500 of the family's 1533-position model. Lineage: Bacteria; Pseudomonadati; Bacteroidota. The record is from RNAcentral.
GGCCUAAUACAUGCAAGUCGAGGGGUAACAGGAAGUGCUUGCACUUCGCUGACGACCGGCGCACGGGUGAGUAUCGCGUAUACAAUCUGCCUCAUACUAGGGAAUAGCCCGAAGAAAUUUGGAUUAAUGCCCUAUAGUAUCUUUUUAAGGCAUCUUAUUAAGAUUAAAGGUUACGGUAUGAGAUGAGUAUGCGUUCUAUUAGCUAGUAGGUGUGGUAACGGCACACCUAGGCUACGAUAGAUAGGGGCCCUGAGAGGGGGAUCCCCCACACUGGUACUGAGACACGGACCAGACUCCUACGGGAGGCAGCAGUAAGGAAUAUUGGUCAAUGGACGAAAGUCUGAACCAGCCAUGCCGCGUGCAGGAUGACUGCCCUAUGGGUUGUAAACUGCUUUUAUAUAGGAAGAAAAACUUUCUCGUGAGAAAGCUUGACGGUACUAUAAGAAUAAGGAUCGGCUAA